UACGUAGGGUGCGAGCGUUAAUCGGAAUUACUGGGCGUAAAGCGUGCGCAGGCGGUUUUGUAAGCCAGAUGUGAAAGCCCCGGGCUUAACCUGGGAAUGGCAUUUGGGACUGCAAGGCUGGAGUGCGGCAGAGGAGACUGGAAUUCCCGGUGUAGCAGUGAAAUGCGUAGAUAUCGGGAGGAACACCGGUGGCGAAGGCGGGUCUCUGGGCCGAUACUGACGCUGAGGAGCGAAAGCGUGGGGAGCGAACAGG
Molecule: ribosomal RNA, 253 nt
Filed under: uncultured bacterium
Lineage: Bacteria
Description: partial 16S ribosomal RNA
Rfam family: Bacterial small subunit ribosomal RNA
Source: RNAcentral